Molecule: unclassified non-coding RNA, 18 nt
Filed under: Mus musculus (house mouse)
Lineage: Eukaryota; Metazoa; Chordata; Mammalia; Rodentia; Muridae
Description: oocyte_clustered_small_RNA1178
Source: RNAcentral
UGGGAUGGAUUCGUGGAU